This 811-nucleotide long non-coding RNA is filed under the name Homo sapiens (human). RNAcentral describes it as "HSALNT0203055". Lineage: Eukaryota; Metazoa; Chordata; Mammalia; Primates; Hominidae. The record is from RNAcentral.
GUGGCUGUGCUGGAGUCUCUGAACAUACUCUGGCUUGAGAGGCUGCCCCAUUCGCGAAUGGUUCAUUGCUCAACUAAAUGCUUUUAAAUUUAAUUCGGCUGAAGUUUUUCUUUUAUCAUACUUAGAAGGACAGUUCUGAAAGCUAGAUGUCGGAAAUCAAGGAGUCACUAAGAUGAUGUCAGAAGUGGGAUCCAAAGUAGAGGUUCUAACGACCCCCAAGAACACUGAGUGACCAAACAAGGUACCUGCUGGACUCACUUGUGUCUGCUGAUCUUUCAGGGCAGCUGGGGAUUGUGGGCAGUUGCACAACCUGGAGGCUGGCAUCAUGGGGUCAUUUAGGAUUGAAUCUGAAGGAGCCGCUGUGGUGGAAAUGAAAUCCCUGCACAAAAGAAGCUGGGGCUGAACUAUCAUAUUCUCCUGGAAGUAGUGGUGCUUUUAUAAUCUUUGGCCUGCAAUGUUAUUUGAAGUGUGAAUGUCUUCUAAUUUUUCUGACUCAAUGUCAUUGGCUUUCCUGAGUAUGAAGAUUAAGGUUUAUCACCAGUUUGAAGAAAUGCUUAGUGAUUUUUAAAAAUCUACCCAGGUAUAUCAUAGAUCUUGUAGCCUAUGUGUCUCAUAAAAAUCCCUUUUCUUUAUUUAUCUCCCUUGCAUUCUGAAUAAUUUUGUCAAUUCUACUUACUAGUCCAUUAUUAUUUUAUUCCUUGGUGUCAAAUAUAAUGUUCUACCCAUGAUAUGCAUCUUUAAUUUCAAUACUAUAUUUCUGGAAGUUCUAUUUAAUUCUGUUUUGAGACCUCUAGCUAAGUUUUAAUACCUG